This 517-nucleotide ribosomal RNA is filed under the name uncultured bacterium. RNAcentral describes it as "bacterial SSU rRNA". It matches the Rfam family "Bacterial small subunit ribosomal RNA", at positions 28 to 534 of the family's 1533-position model. The record is from RNAcentral.
GAUGAACGCUAGCGGGAGGCUUAACACAUGCAAGUCGAGGGGCAGCAUAGGGUAGCAAUACUCUGAUGGCGACCGGCAAACGGGUGAGUAACGCGUAUGCAACCUACCCUGUACAGGGGGAUAACCCGGAGAAAUUCGGACUAAUAUCCCGUAAUAAUAUCCGGAGGCAUCUUUGGAUAUUUAAAGUUCCGACGGUACGGGAUGGGCAUGCGUAACAUUAACUGGUUGGUAAGGUAACGGCUUACCAAGGCUAUGAUGUUUAGGGGUCCUGAGAGGGUGGUCCCCCACACUGGUACUGAGACACGGACCAGACUCCUACGGGAGGCAGCAGUGAGGAAUAUUGGUCAAUGGGCGCAAGCCUGAACCAGCCAUCCCGCGUGCAGGAAGACGGCCCUAUGGGUUGUAAACUGUCUUUUCCGAGGGAGAGAAACUUACGCACGUGUUGCGUGACUGACGGUACCCUGGGAAUAAGCAUCGGCUAACUCCGUGCCAGCAGCCGACGGUAAAACGUAGCGUG